GAUGAACGCUGGCGGCGUGCCUAAUACAUGCAAGUCGAGCGGACGAUUCGAAAGCUUGCUUUUGAAUCGUUAGCGGCGGACGGGUGAGUAACACGUGGGCAACCUGCCCUGUAGACGGGGAUAACACCGAGAAAUCGGUGCUAAUACCGGAUAACACGAAAUGUCGCAUGACGUUUCGUUGAAAGGCGGCGCAAGCUGCCGCUACAGGAUGGGCCCGCGGCGCAUUAGCUAGUUGGUGAGGUAACGGCUCACCAAGGCGACGAUGCGUAGCCGACCUGAGAGGGUGAUCGGCCACACUGGGACUGAGACACGGCCCAGACUCCUACGGGAGGCAGCAGUAGGGAAUCUUCCGCAAAGGACGAAAGUCUGACGGAGCAACGCCGCGUGAGCGAAGAAGGCCUUCGGGUCGUAAAGCUCUGUUGUUAGGGAAGAACAAGUAACGUAGUAACUGACGUUACUAUGACGGUACCUAACGAGAAAGCCACGGCUAACUACGUG
RNAcentral lists this ribosomal RNA (498 nucleotides) under uncultured bacterium. RNAcentral's name for it is "partial 16S ribosomal RNA". It matches the Rfam family "Bacterial small subunit ribosomal RNA", at positions 28 to 507 of the family's 1533-position model. The record is from RNAcentral.